GACGAACGCUGGCGGCGUGCUUAACACAUGCAAGUCGAACGGAAAGGCCCCUUUGGGGGUACUCGAGUGGCGAACGGGUGAGUAACACGUGAGUAACCUGCCCUUGACUUCGGGAUAACUUCAGGAAACUGGGGCUAAUACCGGAUAGGAAUCCUUGCUGCAUGGUGGGGGUUGGAAAGCUUCGGCGGUUUUGGAUGGACUCGCGGCUUAUCAGCUUGUUGGUGGGGUAGUGGCUUACCAAGGCUUUGACGGGUAGCCGGCCUGAGAGGGCGACCGGCCACAUUGGGACUGAGAUACGGCCCAGACUCCUACGGGAGGCAGCAGUGGGGAAUAUUGCACAAUGGGCGGAAGCCUGAUGCAGCAACGCCGCGGGCGGGAUGUCGGCCUUCGGGUUGUAAACCGCUUUCAGCAGGGGCGAAGCUUGUGGUGACGGUACCUGCAGAAGAAGCACCGGCUAACUACGUG
Molecule: ribosomal RNA, 465 nt
Filed under: uncultured bacterium
Lineage: Bacteria
Description: partial 16S ribosomal RNA
Rfam family: Bacterial small subunit ribosomal RNA
Source: RNAcentral